This is a long non-coding RNA of Lutra lutra (Eurasian river otter), 1694 nucleotides long. RefSeq lists it as uncharacterized. The transcript is spliced from 2 exons. NCBI's taxonomy places the organism in Eukaryota, Metazoa, Chordata, Mammalia, Carnivora, Mustelidae. The record is from RefSeq and is a predicted model, not a curated record.
GCUUAACCCACAGAGCCACCCAGGCGCCCCCUGAAACAUCUUUUUGGACCUGUUUCUCCAUUCAUUCCCAGACUUCUGAAAGCUGGUGCCUGCCCAGCAAAUGGAAGGGACCAAGGGAGCUGGAGGCAGUGAUGCUGCCUGACAGGUCUAAGACAGGACUUUGUCAAAACUGAGGCUGCAGAUGCAGUGGGAAAGACAGAUGGGGGGCCGGUGGGUGUCUUCAGAGGCCAGCCUGGGCACUUGCAGCCCUCUGAUCUGUGGGACCAAUUUGGCCUCUGCACUUCACGUGAGGUGAGGUUUGUUUCUGAGGUACUCACCAGAGUGAACUUUGACCCCAGCUCCUAACCAGUCCAGGCCCAGCCAACUUGAGUGUCACCCACCCAAGUCUUCUGCCUCCUGCUACCCCCUUACAUACCCCAGGCAGCUGAGAAACAUCAUCCCUGUUAAGGCUUUCUCUCCAAACUGCUCUGUUCCUUACAGACCCCAGGGCUGAUGUGGCAGAAGACAGAGCCAGACUGUAGCUAUGGUGACCACAGGACAUACUAGUGCUGUGUGCAGAGCUAUACAAGCCCCAGCCAAUGGUUACUAAUACAUGGGAAAGAUACUUCUAGGCUCUUCCAACAGACAAUAUCUCUGAACUCUAAAGACCAGAACAGAGGGGCACCAAGACAGGCGGCACUGCAGCAGUUAACCUAAAGAAAUAGAAGCCAUAAUACAGUCCUGCAGAGAAGAUUCUAGGCUUCUGCUUGAACCAGACUAGAACAGAAGUGGCCAAGAACAAAGACUCACCCUCUAGUUCCUAAUCAGGCCACUCUUAGGCUUUAUGGCUUCCCAGCCCCAGAGAGUCUCUAGUCCCUGAAGGGAAGGGAAGCAGAGAGGAGGUACAGCAAUGUGACCAGCGGUGGGGCGGGGGGGCAUUCUGGACAUGCUUGCACUGCAUCGUGCCAUCAGUGAGAGAUGGGCAGGAGGAAGGCAUUGUGGGAGCCCCAGUGUCACAGGAGGUCUUUACCCAGCCCAGCUAGUGGUGCCAGCCACUGUAAGGACACGUUUUAUGGAUAGGCAUAAAAAGCAGGGAAAACACCUGGAGACUUGAUUCCCUCUCUCCCAGGUCCCUUUGUUGCCAUUGGAAGGCAAGGCUGUGGCCAUCUCCCUGGGUAGUCAUGAUUCUGCACGGUGGUCCACGCGAGACAGGAAUGUUCUCAUAAAUGAUCACAGCAGAAAAGACAGACACACUUGUGUAUCACCUGUUUUGUGUAUCACACAGCUGUAUCACCUGUUUUGAAGAUGCUCUGCAAAAGAGGGAGCUUUGAUUUUAUUGAUCCUGUGUUUUGCACUGUUUGGAAGAAAGUAGAAGCCUUCUUGGCUUGUUAUACCCAGGAGGGUGGCGAGCCUGCUCUGGGUUUCUGAGUCCUUCCAUAGCAGCAUGGGAGAGACAGAGCCACACUGCACCUCACCAGGGGACAGCUGAGGUGGGUGCUGUCAGAACUCCGGCAUCCCCCUUGGCCUUGGAACAAAAAGACAGAUAAGAAGGUGAAGUACAAGGACAGAGGGCAUGGGCCUGGCGCUGUAGAGACUGUCAUCCAGCCCCGGGACUGAGGGAACACUGCAACUUCUUACCGUGCUUCUACUGUCUUCUAGGAAAGAGGACAGAACAGCCAGGGAAGGUUGAAGCUGUAGAAGGCUGUUCUUUUCUU